Molecule: ribosomal RNA, 582 nt
Filed under: uncultured bacterium
Lineage: Bacteria
Description: bacterial SSU rRNA
Rfam family: Bacterial small subunit ribosomal RNA
Source: RNAcentral
CCUACGGGAGGCAGCAGUGAGGAAUAUUGGACAAUGGGCGCAAGCCUGAUCCAGCCAUGCCGCGUGCAGGAUGACGGUCCUAUGGAUUGUAAACUGCUUUUGCACAGGAGGAAACAACUCUACGUGUAGAGUCUUGACGGUACUGUGAGAAUAAGGAUCGGCUAACUCCGUGCCAGCAGCCGCGGUAAUACGGAGGAUCCAGGCGUUAUCCGGAAUCAUUGGGUUUAAAGGGUCCGUAGGCGGUUUAGUAAGUCAGUGGUGAAAGCCCAUCGCUCAACGGUGGAACGGCCAUUGAUACUGCUAGACUUGAAUUAUUAGGAAGUAACUAGAAUAUGUAGUGUAGCGGUGAAAUGCUUAGAGAUUACAUGGAAUACCAAUUGCGAAGGCAGGUUAACUACUAAAUGGAUUGACGCUGAUGGACGAAAGCGUGGGUAGCGAACAGGAUUAGAUACCCUGGUAGUCCACGCCGUAAACGAUAGGAUACUAGCUGUUGGGCGCAAGUUCAGUGGCUAAGACGAAAGUAGAUAAGUAUCCCACCUGGGGAGUACGUUCGCAAGAAUGAAAACUUAAAGGAAAUUGAGG